ACGGAGGGUGCAAGCGUUAAUCGGAAUCACUGGGCGUAAAGCGCUCGUAGGCUGUUUGGUAAGUCAGGCGUGAAAGCCCGCGGCUUAACCGCGGAACUGCGUUUGAUACUGCCAGACUUGAGUGUCGGAGAGGGUGGCGGAAUUCCGGGUGUAGGAGUGAAAUCCGUAGAUAUCCGGAGGAACACCAGUGGCGAAGGCGGCCACCUGGACGACAACUGACGCUGAGGAGCGAAAGCGUGGGUAGCAAACAG
Molecule: ribosomal RNA, 251 nt
Filed under: uncultured prokaryote
Description: partial 16S rRNA
Rfam family: Bacterial small subunit ribosomal RNA
Source: RNAcentral